This 492-nucleotide ribosomal RNA is filed under the name uncultured bacterium. RNAcentral describes it as "partial 16S ribosomal RNA". It matches the Rfam family "Bacterial small subunit ribosomal RNA", at positions 29 to 507 of the family's 1533-position model. The record is from RNAcentral.
AGUGAACGCUGGCGGUAGGCCUAACACAUGCAAGUCGAACGGCAGCACAGUAAGAGCUUGCUCUUACGGGUGGCGAGUGGCGGACGGGUGAGGAAUACAUCGGAAUCUACUUUUUCGUGGGGGAUAACGUAGGGAAACUUACGCUAAUACCGCAUACGACCUACGGGUGAAAGCAGGGGAUCUUCGGACCUUGCGCGAUUGAAUGAGCCGAUGUCGGAUUAGCUAGUUGGCGGGGUAAAGGCCCACCAAGGCGACGAUCCGUAGCUGGUCUGAGAGGAUGAUCAGCCACACUGGAACUGAGACACGGUCCAGACUCCUACGGGAGGCAGCAGUGGGGAAUAUUGGACAAUGGGCGCAAGCCUGAUCCAGCCAUACCGCGUGGGUGAAGAAGGCCUUCGGGUUGUAAAGCCCUUUUGUUGGGAAAGAAAAGCAGCAGGUUGAUCCCCCGCUGUUCUGACGGUACCCAAAGAAUAAGCACCGGCUAACUUCGUG